Molecule: ribosomal RNA, 397 nt
Filed under: uncultured bacterium
Lineage: Bacteria
Description: partial 16S ribosomal RNA
Rfam family: Bacterial small subunit ribosomal RNA
Source: RNAcentral
AUACGUAGGGGGCGAGCGUUGUCCGGAAUGAUUGGGCGUAAAGGGCGCGUAGGCGGCGCGGUAAGUCUGGAGUGAAAGUCCUGCUUUCAAGGUGGGAAUUGCUUUGGAUACUGCCGCGCUUGAGUGCAGGAGAGGUUAUCGGAAUUCCCGGUGUAGCGGUGAAAUGCGUAGAGAUCGGGAGGAACACCAGUGGCGAAGGCGGGUAACUGGACUGCAACUGACGCUGAGGCGCGAAAGUGUGGGGAGCAAACAGGAUUAGAUACCCUGGUAGUCCACACUGUAAACGAUGAAUACUAGGUGUAGGGGGUAUCGACUCCCUCUGUGCCGCAGUUAACACAAUAAGUAUUCCGCCUGGGGAGUACGGCCGCAAGGUUGAAACUCAAAGGAAUUGGCGGGG